AGCAGCCGCGGUAAUUCCAGCUCCAAUAGCGUAUAUUAAAGUUGUUGCAGUUAAAAAGCUCGUAGUUGAAUUUCGGGGUCAGUAGGUCGGUCGUGCCACUGGUAUGAACUGGUUUUACUGAUUCCUCCCUCUUGAAGAACUGUAAUGCCAUUAAUUUGGUGUUGCAGGGAAUCAGAACUGUUACUUUGAAAAAAUUAGAGUGUUUAAAGCAGGCUUUAGCUUGAAUACAUUAGCAUGGAAUAAUGAAAUAGGACGUUUGAUCCUAUUUUGUUGGUUUCUAGGAUUGACGUAAUGAUUAAUAGGGAUAGUUGGGGGCAUUAGUAUUCAAUUGUCAGAGGUGAAAUUCUUGGAUUUAUUGAAGACUAACUACUGCGAAAGCAUUUGCCAAGGAUGUUUUCAUUAAUCAAGAACGAAAGUUAGGGGAUCGAAGACGAUCAGAUACCGUCGUAGUCUUAACCAUAAACUAUGCCGACUAGGGAUCGGAUGAUGUUAAUUUUUUAAUGACUCAUUCGGCGCCUUACG
This 522-nucleotide ribosomal RNA is filed under the name uncultured Glomus. RNAcentral describes it as "SSU rRNA". It matches the Rfam family "Eukaryotic small subunit ribosomal RNA", at positions 569 to 1092 of the family's 1831-position model. The record is from RNAcentral. Lineage: Eukaryota; Fungi; Glomeromycota; Glomeromycetes; Glomerales; Glomeraceae.